Molecule: long non-coding RNA, 1496 nt
Organism: Cyprinus carpio (common carp)
Lineage: Eukaryota; Metazoa; Chordata; Actinopteri; Cypriniformes; Cyprinidae
Source: Ensembl
AACAUGAUGUGACUCUGUUAAGAUUCCGGCUGACCGAAAGCAUCAGUCUGAACUGCAACAUGACAGACAAAUUCAGAAUGGCCUGGUAUCACCAGAAUCCUGAUUCUGGACGACUAACACUGCUGCUGUCUGCCAAGAGCUGGUCAUCACUGCACAUUGAAUACUCUCAAAACAGUCGCAUGAGAGUUUAUGGGGAUAGGAUGAGCAUCUCACUAAAUAUUAUUGGACUAAUGGAGUCAGAUUCAGGUCUUUAUUACUGUGGAACAGGACAUACAUUUAAUUCAGUCAUGUACUUUGACAAACCCAUCAGACUAGUGAUGGAGGGUUAGUACAGCUUUUCAAUUUCUCUGAAAUCUUCAUAAUGUUUUUAAUGCUGAGAAUAAUUUGACUGUUUCUCAAUUUAUUUCAAUCAUCUAUGUUACAAAUUAACUUUCCAUAAAAAUGUAAGGAUCCACCCGCCAGCCCAAAUAGCAGAAUCCAGCAGCCUGGUCGAAGGUUUAAUGCGUAUUCGGUCUUUUACUCUGGUCAUCACUGCACACUGAAUACUCUCAAAACAGUCGCAUGAGAGUUUAUGGGGAUAGGAUGAGCAUCUCACUAAAUAUUAUUGGACUAAUGGAGUCAGAUUCAGGUCUUUAUUACUGUGGAACAGGACAUACAUUUAAUUCAGUCAUGUACUUUGACAAACCCAUCAGACUAGUGAUGGAGGAGAAGUUGACAGACAGAGAAGACAAAGUUCAUUCCAUCACAGAUCUGUCAGAGGAUGAUGAGAUCAGAGAUGCUUCAGAACAUAAUGUGACUCUGUUAAGAUUCCAGCUAAAUGAAACCCUCACUCUGAACUGCAACAUGACCGACAAAGCUGAAAUGACCUGGUAUCACCAGAAUCCUGAAUCUGGACGACUUACAAUGCUGAUAUUUGCCAUAUGGCCAUUACGGCUCUCUGUGUCAGGGAUCUGGCAAGCCCGGUUUCAACCAAUCCACAACGCUCACAGUCCCCUGAGUACUAACCAGUCACACCUGCCCCGCAUCAAGGAUCCAAUCAAGGCACUAUAAAACACUCACCAAUACAUCAGUUCUCCGUCAAGCCUCCAACAGGAACAGUCUCCUCGCACUUGCCUCCUGAGUUCCUGACACUUCACUGUUAUCCAGAUGUAACGUAUACUUACCCUUGUGUUACACUAACCUGUGUCCUUGUUCUGCUGCCCACAGGACCACGGAUCACCGAAUUGUUACCUGUGAUUCGGCGGUCUCUGUAGUCUCCUGUGUAUAUUCCGAGCUGGUACUGUCUUCGGCAUCUGUUAAGGAAGAGAACAUACGUGAGCGAUCUGUGACUGUGGCUUUGACACUCCUGAAUCAAACGUGCUCACCUGUCUACUAUCCCAUCCCCUGUGUUUAUCAUACUGCCCGCACUUGAAGACACGAAGCACUCACCGAGCACUUGAAGAUGAAGUAUUCAACGAGGACUUGUAUAUUCAAAUAAAAACACUGUUCUGAAUUCA